This is a long non-coding RNA of Maniola jurtina (meadow brown), 3363 nucleotides long. RefSeq lists it as uncharacterized. Lineage: Eukaryota; Metazoa; Arthropoda; Insecta; Lepidoptera; Nymphalidae. The record is from RefSeq and is a predicted model, not a curated record. The transcript is spliced from 2 exons.
GCUUAAUAUUCAAAUGAAAUUGGAACUACGUUUGUAUGAAGCGAGUGACGGAGAGAGCCCUGUCAAAACUAGCAUCGAAUGCGGAUUUCACGAAUUUUUGAAGACACUCUGUUUAAUAAUUACUGAGAAAUAAUUUAUUUUUGAUAUAGGCAUCAUCCCCAUUAAAAACGUUAACCCUAAAAUUCCUUAAAAGUGACAUUGAUAAUUUUUAGUAUAAAAAAAAUACACUGCCAUUAAUUUAUAUCCAUUCCAAUGGAUGUAUUUGAUUGUACGAAGCAAUAAAUAUUAUGCAGCGAAUGAAAUUUAAAAAUUUAUUUGGUAUUUUUUACGUUAGUUUAGAAAUAAGGCUCAAGGCAGAUUGAUCGAAGUGUAGCGACGCGUCUUUGCUUCGAUCCUGCUUGAGUCUUUACUUUGGUUAUGGUGAAUUUUAGAAUUUAAAAAACCGUUAUAUAUGCUACGCGCGCAUUGAUACAUGAGUAUUCAUAGGUAUGGCCGAUUUUCAUUAAAAAGGGUCGUCUGGUAAAUCGGUCAUGUAACCGGUUAAACACAUGUCGGUUAAGUAUGAUUUACUAAAACGUAUAAAAAAAACGGUCAGUUGUAAUCAAUUAUAAAUAAACUUGAAAAAUCGACCGAUCACCAGAAAACCGGUCGGGGUAACGUUAAAAGAAAAACACAUUGCAACGUAAAUAUAAAAUAUCUUGGUAACUAAUAACUAAAACAUUUUUUAUGUAUUUUUUAAAAAUUAUUAAGAAAUUACGGUUUUUAUCCCAAUUUUUUUUUAAAUUGUUAAUUGAUAAUGAUUUUUAUGUAAAAUAAUAAACCAAAACGGAAUACAUAAUUAUUGUACUAGGCCCUUCCCUGUUAAGACGCCCAAAUAUUACCUACGAAAUGCAAUUUGUGACUCCAUUUUGACACUCCUUGUAUUAAGACAUGUCAUAUUCUGACGUCUAAAAAUGCUUGCAAUUUCAACGUUUUAGAUAUUAGGUUCUAGACAUAUUAGCGCAGAAUAUAAAUGAAACGAAGCAUUUUUACCAAAAUCUUUAUCUUCACUAUGUAAUAAUACUUUAAAGUUUGGAUGAAGCAAAAAAAUAGACACACGUACACGCGCGGCGUUGUGCGUCGUACAUUACAUACUGGAGAUUUCAGUAUGCUUUGUAGUAGAAGAGACGCAUCGCACCACUUCUCGACUCUUCGUCAAUAUGUCUUGAACUUAAGAAGGGAGUUGUGUUAUUUCGUAUAAAAUAUAUGUAUUACAUGCUUACAAUGUAUUUAAAACAACCAAAUAUGUGAUUAAGAUGAUCGGGUACUCUUAAAUAAUAUUGAGUAGUAAAAAUAUAAUGAAAAGAAAAAGACAAUUUUCCCGUAUUAUACAUAAAAUAUAAAUAAUAUUAUAGUUUUAAAAUAAUAGAAAUUUUGAAAAUAAUUUAAAGCUCGCUUGUGUAUUAUUAAUUUUUCUUUUUGUAAAUAAUUACAAAUAUUCCAGUUAGUUUUUUAGUAAUUUGUAUAAUACCAAUAGAGUAGACAUUUUAUUUUAUUUUAUCGUAAAUAGGGAUAACUUUGCUUUGCAAUUUAACUGUGACGGUCAACAAAUAAAUAUUUUAUGUAUUUUGUUUGGAAUACAUUAAUAAAAUAAAACGCUAUUAUCUCUAUUUCAGAGUAAAAUGUUAAUGUAUUCUAAUAAAAAGAAUAAUGAAUUUUCCUUUGAUUGUCAAAGUAAAAUUGAAAAGCAAAGUUACUCAGAUCGAGUGUAUAGUUUUACGGCCAAAAUUAAUUAUAAUAAUCAAUCUAUCGGUGAUCUGUCGAUAAGUUACUUAGCAACAUUCUUAUUUGUCAAAAAUGUUAUAACUUUUUGACAAAUAACAACGGAGCUAUCGAUUGAUUACGAAUAGAUUGAUUUUAUUAUUUAUUGAUUUUGGCUGUUAAUGUAUUUAAUAUUUUUAGUGCAACCUCAUUUCUGAGUGAAAGUGGACUGUUAUUUAUUUUUUAUCUAUGUCAAUUUAUUUGUAUGCAGGCCUAUGCCUCUCUUAGCACGAUUUUUAUUAAAUAAAUAAAUAAUUAAAAUUAAUAAUUUUAUUAACCUGCAAGGGUAAACACUGGUUGGGGCACGUAUAGUUUAGUAGUGUCAAAGAGGACAGACAAAGACUGAGGCCACAUGAUGCGUGUCCGGUGCGUUGCGGCGCUGCACCGCUGUGGAUGUUAGUAUUGAGUGCCACUCGGGCACUGCGUUGCCGCUCCGGCAAAACGUAUAGGGCGCCGCACCGCCAACGCAACGCAGCGUCUGGCUUCACUCUAAAACUUAUGACUGAUCUUUUACGCUUAAAAUUGAUUAAUAUCAAUCUAUCCGUAAUUUGUCGAUAAAUUAUUUAGCAACAUUGUUAUUUGUCUAAAAAGUACAAUUUUUGAUAAAUAUAACAACGUUUCUAGGAAACUUGUCGAAAGAUUACAGAUAGGAUUGAUUGUUAGUUUCGGAUGUUACUGGCCAAAUAAUGUUAACCGAAGAUUUUUGACAGUUUUAUACUGUAGGUAAAUCUGUCAAAAUGUUAAAUUUCUUCGUCAGUCAAAGUCUAUUUGGAAAUAAUAGAUGAAAAGUCAGCCAAUUAAUUGAAUUUAGUGCAAAACCGAUAUUUAAUAGGCCAUUUUUGAUAUUGUUUUUCAUACCAUACAACAAUCUGUCAAAACUAGCCUAUUAAAAACGGUGAGUCCGAUUUGACACUAGUGUCACGUUUAUUUUAUCCAGUGUAAUUGUGACAUUUAUUUUUAAUUAUUAUAACGUGAGAUUAUUAUUUUAUUUACACUUCUAAAAAUGUAUCUUUCGAUUUUUCGAAAUAGUAUAAUUUUAUUAUAAUCAAAGAUACAUUUUUUAAGAUUAAUAUUAUUUUAGCACCGAUUUAUUUUUGUUGCAAAUGCUAUUAUUUUGAAAGGAACAUUAAGGAUUAAAUUUGUUUACUAAGAAGAUGAAAUUUAAUGCUUAUGUUUUGUUUAUAGGUUUAACGCAGACCAUCGAUUUUAAUCAGUUGACACAUUAUGUCUGGCAAUACGUUUAACUGUCGAGAUUUAUUGUUUUUCCUCACUACUCAACGCACAGUGCAUUAUUAUUGAUAUAUUCUUACCUUUUCAAUAACAUAUCGCCCAAUUAAAUCUACGAAAAUCGGUAAUAUUUGCUCCGAUUUAUUAUUGUAGAACCGAUUUUUUCUGGGACUUUAUUACUGUCGGUGUUCUGCGUUAGCCUAAAGUAUAACAUUAGAAUAUACAAAUUGUAUUUCUUACCACCUAUCUUCAUGUUUUAUUUUAUUUUAAAUGAACUGUAACGCUUUGAGUAAUCCCGUUUAUUUAUAUUCUUCUGAAAUAAACUUUUAUUUUCGA